This is a long non-coding RNA of Cygnus olor (mute swan), 1238 nucleotides long. RefSeq lists it as uncharacterized. The transcript is spliced from 3 exons. Lineage: Eukaryota; Metazoa; Chordata; Aves; Anseriformes; Anatidae. The record is from RefSeq and is a predicted model, not a curated record.
GGCUGAGAGUGUCCUGUCUUCCAAUAACCCAUUGUUCAGUGCAGUAUACUUGGUCUAAAAAUGAGCAUUUCAGAAAAGUCCUGUGAAAAGCAGAGUAAAUGCUCCAGCUCUGCACGUUUUGUGCGCAAGAAGUGAAAAACAGAGUACAGGCAAGGAUGUCCACGGCUGUCCGUGCAUGGAAGAACCUGUGAACAUUAAGUUUUCCAUAGUGCUCUCUGAUACCAGGUACUGCUGAUAAGCUGCUGCAGGGAAGGCACUGGGCUCCUGUCCGCGCCGAGGGCCUGUAGUGUGAGCACUGAGGAUACUGCCUGCCUCGCUGCCUCCAGGGGAAGGGAAGGACGAGCAAACCACCCCGAAUCCACACGAAGGAUUUCAAAGACCAACAAGGAAAUUAAAUGAGCUCUUGCCAGUGAAGCAUUUUUACUAAUGCCGCGCUCUGAAAACGUUGUGAGUUGCAUGAGGGGAGCUACAAAUGGUGUUUAAACGUCACAGGCAUACCGCACCAGGCAGCAAACUCUUCAUAUUCCAUUAGCGAAGCAAGCUGAGCCUGGUUUUUCCACUGCAGAUAAAAUUAAAGUGCUUUGGAAAUGAUGGUGUUUAUUCCAUAGGUCUUGACUCUAUAGUACUGGCUGUGUUCCCUUCUGGUCUGUUUGACCCACUGCAUGUUUUCGGCCCUUUGAGCAGCAGAACGAUUCUUGUCUUCUGGCUGAGAUAUAAAACAGAAGUCCUGCCUAUCUGUAAUCCAUUAGAGAUUUUGCGGUGCUGUUUGCAGCAGUAGGAGUGUGUUAAGGCUUUGGUUGUUCUGGAAAUAACACUGCUUUGCUCAGUUGCAUAUCGUAGUUCAGUCAAUCUAAAUCAAGCAAUCAUCAUCCUCUUCAGCCUCCUUCUAAAGCCUAAUUCAUGUGGGUUAUUUUAUACUUUAUACCUUCUUCCCCCACAGCAUACAAGAGCUUCACAGUAACGAGUGUUUUUUAUGCCCAGGGUGCUUCAAUAAGUUACAAGUCACUGUAAUACUCAUUUUUUACCUAGAUUCAAGGAGCACAGAGGCCAAGUAAAUAGCCUUAAGUCAACUAUGAAGUCUGCGGCAGCACAUUUGUGCCUCUGUUCUCCAAGUGAGCAAAACAGCCUUGAAGUUAGCAUACUAACAUGUUUCAGGAAAGUGAUGCAGUUCUCGUGAAUAAGGAAUUGAUGGAAAUGUCAAAAGUUUUAACCAUUAGUAUUUUCUUAACAAAAUUGAG